Molecule: non-coding RNA, 110 nt
Organism: Coniochaeta pulveracea
Lineage: Eukaryota; Fungi; Ascomycota; Sordariomycetes; Coniochaetales; Coniochaetaceae
Source: the annotation of a GenBank genome assembly
GCCCACUUGGCUCAGUGGUAGAGCGUGUCGCCAAUGCCGUCCCUAAGAAAUACCUUUAGAACAGCGUCUGGUUCACGACAAGAUCAUCAGUUCGAUUCUGAUAGUGGGUA